ACGGCCAUACCAUGCUGAAUAUACCGGUUCUCGUUAGAUCACCGAAGUCAAGCAUCAUUGGGCGCAGAUCAGUACUAAGGUGGGUGACCACCUGGGAACACCGCGUGCCG
Non-coding RNA from Caerostris extrusa, 110 nucleotides. The record is from the annotation of a GenBank genome assembly. NCBI's taxonomy places the organism in Eukaryota, Metazoa, Arthropoda, Arachnida, Araneae, Araneidae.